GUGGGGAAUCUUCCGCAAUGGACGAAAGUCUGAUGGAGCAACGCCGCGUGAGUGAAGAAGGGUUUCGGCUCGUAAAGCUCUGUUGUCGGGGACGAAUGUGCAGUAUUUGAAUAAAGUAGUGCAAUGACGGUACCUGACGAGGAAGCCACGGCUAACUACGUGCCAGCAGCCGCGGUAAUACGUAGGUGGCAAGCGUUGUCCGGAAUUAUUGGGCGUAAAGGGAGCGCAGGCGGGAAGGUAAGUCGGUCUUAAAAGUGCGGGGCUCAACCCCGUGAUGGGAUCGAAACUAUCUUUCUUGAGUGCAGGAGAGGAAAGUGGAAUUCCUAGUGUAGCGGUGAAAUGCGUAGAUAUUAGGAGGAACACCAGUGGCGAAGGCGACUUUCUGGACUGUAACUGACGCUGAGGCUCGAAAGCCAGGGGAGCGAACGGGAUUAGAAACCCGGGUAGUCC
RNAcentral lists this ribosomal RNA (450 nucleotides) under uncultured bacterium. Its description in RNAcentral is "partial 16S ribosomal RNA". It matches the Rfam family "Bacterial small subunit ribosomal RNA", at positions 354 to 796 of the family's 1533-position model. The record is from RNAcentral.